RNAcentral lists this non-coding RNA (347 nucleotides) under Acidomyces richmondensis BFW. RNAcentral describes it as "Eukaryotic small subunit ribosomal RNA". It matches the Rfam family "Eukaryotic small subunit ribosomal RNA", at positions 1 to 352 of the family's 1831-position model. The record is from Rfam by way of RNAcentral. Lineage: Eukaryota; Fungi; Ascomycota; Dothideomycetes; Mycosphaerellales; Teratosphaeriaceae.
UACCUGGUUGAUUCUGCCAGUAGUCAUAUGCUUGUCUCAAAGAUUAAGCCAUGCAAGUCUAAGUAUAAGCAACUAUACGGUGAAACUGCGAAUGGCUCAUUAAAUCAGUUAUCGUUUAUUUGAUAGUACCUUACUACAUGGAUAACCGUGGUAAUUCUAGAGCUAAUACAUGCUAAAAACCCCGACUUCGGAAGGGGUGUAUUUAUUAGAUAAAAAACCAACGCCCUUCGGGGCUCCUUGGUGAAUCAUAAUAACUUAACGAAUCGCAUGGCCUUGCGCCGGCGAUGGUUCAUUCAAAUUUCUGCCCUAUCAACUUUCGAUGGUAGGAUAGUGGCCUACCAUGGUAG